GCGGGAGUGGUGUAACGGUAGCACGCCAGACUCCAAAUCACGAGGUGCCGGUUCGACUCCGGUCUCCCGCUCCA
This 74-nucleotide transfer RNA is filed under the name Bryobacterales bacterium. RNAcentral's name for it is "tRNA-Trp". It matches the Rfam family "tRNA". Rfam says of the family: Transfer RNA (tRNA) molecules are approximately 80 nucleotides in length. Their secondary structure includes four short double-helical elements and three loops (D, anti-codon, and T loops). The record is from RNAcentral. Lineage: Bacteria; Pseudomonadati; Acidobacteriota; Terriglobia; Bryobacterales.